This 465-nucleotide ribosomal RNA is filed under the name Vreelandella stevensii. RNAcentral describes it as "partial 16S ribosomal RNA". It matches the Rfam family "Bacterial small subunit ribosomal RNA", at positions 338 to 795 of the family's 1533-position model. The record is from RNAcentral. Lineage: Bacteria; Pseudomonadati; Pseudomonadota; Gammaproteobacteria; Oceanospirillales; Halomonadaceae.
CCUACGGGUGGCUGCAGUGGGGAAUAUUGGACAAUGGGGGGAACCCUGAUCCAGCCAUGCCGCGUGUGUGAAGAAGGCCCUCGGGUUGUAAAGCACUUUCAGGGAGGAAGAACGCCUGGUGGUUAAUACCCAUCAGGAAAGACAUCACUCACAGAAGAAGCACCGGCUAACUCCGUGCCAGCAGCCGCGGUAAUACGGAGGGUGCGAGCGUUAAUCGGAAUUACUGGGCGUAAAGCGCGCGUAGGUGGCUUGAUAAGCCGGUUGUGAAAGCCCCGGGCUCAACCUGGGAACGGCAUCCGGAACUGGCAAGCUAGAGUGCAGGAGAGGAAGGUAGAAUUCCCGGUGUAGCGGUGAAAUGCGUAGAGGUCGGGAGGAAUACCAGUGGCGAAGGCGGCCUUCUGGACUGACACUGACACUGAGGUGCGAAAGCGUGGGUAGCAAACAGGAUUAGAUACCCUUGUAGUC